GUGCUUGCUUCAGCAGCACAUAUACUAAAAUUGAAACUAUACAGAGAAGAUUAGCAUGGCCCCUG
This 65-nucleotide small nuclear RNA is filed under the name Propithecus coquereli (Coquerel's sifaka). Lineage: Eukaryota; Metazoa; Chordata; Mammalia; Primates; Indriidae. The record is from RNAcentral.